This is a long non-coding RNA of Amblyraja radiata (thorny skate), 127 nucleotides long. RefSeq lists it as uncharacterized. The transcript has 3 exons. The record is from RefSeq and is a predicted model, not a curated record. NCBI's taxonomy places the organism in Eukaryota, Metazoa, Chordata, Chondrichthyes, Rajiformes, Rajidae.
CUCCUCUUCCUGAGGAGACUAAAGAAAGUCCACCUGUCUCCUCAUAUUCUGGUGAACUUCUACCGCUGCACCAUCGAGAGCAUCCUUACCAACUGUAUCACAGUAUGGUACGGCAACUGCUCUGUCU